Molecule: transfer RNA, 64 nt
Filed under: Cryptocephalus androgyne
Lineage: Eukaryota; Metazoa; Arthropoda; Insecta; Coleoptera; Chrysomelidae
Description: tRNA-Asn
Source: RNAcentral
UCGAUUAGAACUCUAAAAAAAGAUUAUGCUGUUAUCCCUAAGGUAAUUUAUUCUUAUAAUCGUU